RNAcentral lists this ribosomal RNA (1486 nucleotides) under metagenome. RNAcentral describes it as "bacterial SSU rRNA". It matches the Rfam family "Bacterial small subunit ribosomal RNA". The record is from RNAcentral.
AGAGUUUGAUCCUGGCUCAGGACGAACGCUGGCGGCGUGCCUAACACAUGCAAGUCGAGCGAGGAAUGUCGGAUAGCUUGCUAUUUGAUAUUUCUAGCGGCGGACGGGUGAGUAACGCGUGAGCAACCUGCCUUUAUCAGGGGGAUAACGCAUCGAAAGAUGUGCUAAUACCGCGUAAGACCACAGCCUCACAUGGGGCGGGGGUCAAAGGAGCAAUCCGGAUAAAGAUGGGCUCGCGUCCGAUUAGCUAGUUGGUGAGAUAACAGCCCACCAAGGCGACGAUCGGUAGCCGACCUGAGAGGGUGAUCGGCCACAUUGGAACUGAGAGACGGUCCAGACUCCUACGGGAGGCAGCAGUGGGGAAUAUUGGGCAAUGGGCGAAAGCCUGACCCAGCAACGCCGCGUGAGGGAAGAAGGGUUUCGGCUCGUAAACCUCUGUCCUAUGGGACGAAGGAAGUGACGGUACCAUAGGAGGAAGCCCCGGCUAACUACGUGCCAGCAGCCGCGGUAAUACGUAGGGGGCGAGCGUUGUCCGGAAUGAUUGGGCGUAAAGGGCGCGUAGGCGGCCUGCUAAGUCUGAAGUGAAAGUCCUGCUUUCAAGGUGGGAAGUGCUUUGGAUACUGGUGGGCUGGAGUGCAGGAGAGGAAAGCGGAAUUACCGGUGUAGCGGUGAAAUGCGUAGAGAUCGGUAGGAACACCAGUGGCGAAGGCGGCUUUCUGGACUGAAACUGACGCUGAGGCGCGAAAGCGUGGGGAGCAAACAGGAUUAGAUACCCUGGUAGUCCACGCGGUAAACGAUGAAUGCUAGGUGUAGGAGGUAUCGACCCCUUCUGUGCCGCAGUAAACACAAUAAGCAUUCCGCCUGGGGAGUACGGCCGCAAGGUUGAAACUCAAAGGAAUUGACGGGGGCCCGCACAAGCAGCGGAGCAUGUGGUUUAAUUCGAAGCAACGCGAAGAACCUUACCAGGUCUUGACAUCCGUGUAAAGCCGCAGAGAUGCGGUGUGAGCUUGCUCAAUACGAGACAGGUGGUGCAUGGUUGUCGUCAGCUCGUGUCGUGAGAUGUUGGGUUAAGUCCCGCAACGAGCGCAACCCUUAUUGUCAGUAGCCAGCAGGUGAAGCUGGGCACUCUGAUGAGACUGCCGGGGAUAACCCGGAGGAAGGUGGGGAUGACGUCAAAUCAUCAUGCCCCUUAUGAGCAGGGCUACACACGUGCUACAAUGGCGUAAACAGAGGGAAGCGAAGGAGUGAUCUGGAGCAAAUCUCAAAAAUAACGUCUCAGUUCGGAUUGUAGUCUGCAACUCGACUACAUGAAGCUGGAAUCGCUAGUAAUCGCAGAUCAGAAUGCUGCGGUGAAUACGUUCCCGGGUCUUGUACACACCGCCCGUCACACCAUGGGAGUCGGUAAUGCCCGAAGUCAGUGACUCAACCGAAAGGAGAGAGCUGCCGAAGGCAGGACUGGUAACUGGGGUGAAGUCGUAACAAGGUA